Molecule: long non-coding RNA, 449 nt
Organism: Podarcis raffonei (Aeolian wall lizard)
Lineage: Eukaryota; Metazoa; Chordata; Lepidosauria; Squamata; Lacertidae
Exons: 4
Source: RefSeq, a predicted model, not a curated record
UCCUGAUCUGAAAAGGAGGAGGAGGAAGAAACUUCGCCUGAUGAAGGGAGAAGAGGAGGUGGAGGAAAAGUCAGCUGCAGGCAUAAAGAAGGCGUCUGCUCGGCGUUUGCGCUGCCUCCCUUGGUUCUCCCGGCCUGAUGCGUUUUGGGGCUUGGCUGGUCCUGGAGUCUUGCAGUUGCUCUGGCCCUUUCUCCGGAUCAUCCUUAAAACAGCCUGGAGAGAUCUCCUGUCUGAAUUCCUGCUCUGAAAAGGGGGAGGAGGAGGAAGAAACUUCGCCUGAUGAAGGGAGAAGAGGAGGUGGAGGAAAAGUCAGCUGCGGGCAUAAAGGUCUGAAUUCCUGCUCUGAAAAGGGGGAGGAGGAGGAAGAAACUUCGCCUGAUGAAGGGAGAAGAGGAGGUGGAGGAAAAGUCAGCUGCGGGCAUAAAGGUAAAAGGGAAAAAAUAGAAAUA